AGCAGCCGCGGUAAUUCCAGCUCCAAUAGCGUAUAUUAAAGUUGUUGCAGUUAAAAAGCUUGUAGUUGAAUUUCGGGAUCAAUUAAUCGGUCGUACCUAUGGUACGUACUGAUUUUAUUGGUUUCUCCCUUCUGACGAACCAUGAUGUCAUUAAUUUGGUGUCGUGGAGAAUCAGGACUGUUACUUUGAAAAAAUUAGAGUGUUUAAAGCUGAAUACAUUAGCAUGGAAUAAUGAAAUAGGGCGUUUGAUCCUAUUUUGUUGGUUUCUAAGAUCGACGUAAUGAUUAAUAGGGAUAGUUGGGGGCAUUAGUAUUCAAUUGUCAGAGGUGAAAUUCUUGGAUUUAUUGAAGACUAACUACAGCGAAAGCAUUUGCCAAGGAUGUUUUC
Molecule: ribosomal RNA, 387 nt
Filed under: uncultured Glomus
Lineage: Eukaryota; Fungi; Glomeromycota; Glomeromycetes; Glomerales; Glomeraceae
Description: SSU rRNA
Rfam family: Eukaryotic small subunit ribosomal RNA
Source: RNAcentral